Pantherophis guttatus is the source of this 712-nucleotide non-coding RNA. The record is from RefSeq and is a predicted model, not a curated record. Lineage: Eukaryota; Metazoa; Chordata; Lepidosauria; Squamata; Colubridae.
AUGAAAGUAGGAGGGGUUAAAAUAAUGAACCUGAAACGCUGGCUUCAAACUAACUGUGUUUCAGCCUGACCCAGAUCCUCUCAUGCAAGAGAAAAAGAGAAGCGCCCGAUAAAAAGGAAGAUUUACAUUCAGCUUAGAAUUUGUGACACGGCUUAGAUUAUAAUUAGAAUCUUUUAAGGUAUUGAUAUACUGCAUAGAAUGGCUACAUGUUUAUAUGGCUCUUAAUUUACAGCAAGGAUUUUAAAUGCCUCCUUUGUCUCUGCAGAAAAUUAUUGUAAGGCUGUCCUGUCUUUUCUUUGUUUUUUUAUGUUGCAGACAUUAGUGAAGUUUGGCUUCAGAAUAUUCUGGCAACCCUUCCAGCUCUUUCUCUGACUUUCUAAUUACAUAUUUGGUUUCCAGAUACGCUGGCAAAUUAUAUGCAUGAGGAAAAUCAUAGUGUGGAAAGUAUAUACAUUUCAACUUCUCAUAUGUCAGAGCCAAAACAAAAUCUUUUGAUCUUUUGAGGGGAGGACAAUAAAGAGAACUUCCUUCACUCCAUCUACAAAAAGGACAUUAUUGUAAAACUAAGGGGUCUUCUUUCACUGCUUUAGUGGUUCCUGGCACUGUCCUUUUGGGAUGUACCUCCAAGAGGCAGGAUGCAAGCUUGGCACUGAUUUUUUUUACUGCCUUUCUGGUGGGCAUGCGAUCUCUCCUUAAAUGUGGAUGAUUUCCU